This 542-nucleotide ribosomal RNA is filed under the name uncultured bacterium. RNAcentral describes it as "partial 16S ribosomal RNA". It matches the Rfam family "Bacterial small subunit ribosomal RNA", at positions 354 to 914 of the family's 1533-position model. The record is from RNAcentral.
UGGGGGAAUAUUGGACAAUGGGCGCAAGCCUGAUCCAGCCAUGCCGCGUGAGUGAUGAAGGCCUUAGGGUUGUAAAGCUCUUUCGCCGGUGAAGAUAAUGACGGUAACCGGAGAAGAAGCCCCGGCUAACUUCGUGCCAGCAGCCGCGGUAAUACGAAGGGGGCUAGCGUUGCUCGGAAUCACUGGGCGUAAAGCGCACGUAGGCGGAUCGUUAAGUCAGGGGUGAAAUCCUGGAGCUCAACUCCAGAACUGCCCUUGAUACUGGCGAUCUCGAGUUCGAGAGAGGUUGGUGGAACUCCGAGUGUAGAGGUGAAAUUCGUAGAUAUUCGGAAGAACACCAGUGGCGAAGGCGGCCAACUGGCUCGAUACUGACGCUGAGGUGCGAAGGCGUGGGGAGCAAACAGGAUUAGAUACCCUGGUAGUCCACGCCGUAAACGAUGGAUGCUAGCCGUUGGGGGGUUUACCUCUCAGUGGCGCAGCUAACGCCUUAAGCAUCCCGCCUGGGGAGUACGGUCGCAAGAUUAAAACUUAAAGGAAUUGAC